GACGAACGCUGGCGGCGUGCCUAAUACAUGCAAGUAGAACGCUGAAGGAGGAGCUUGCUUCUCUGGAUGAGUUGCGAACGGGUGAGUAACGCGUAGGUAACCUGCCUGGUAGCGGGGGAUAACUAUUGGAAACGAUAGCUAAUACCGCAUAAGAGUAGAUGUUGCAUGACAUUUGCUUAAAAGGUGCAAUUGCAUCACUACCAGAUGGACCUGCGUUGUAUUAGCUAGUUGGUGGGGUAACGGCUCACCAAGGCGACGAUACAUAGCCGACCUGAGAGGGUGAUCGGCCACACUGGGACUGAGACACGGCCCAGACUCCUACGGGAGGCAGCAGUAGGGAAUCUUCGGCAAUGGACGGAAGUCUGACCGAGCAACGCCGCAUGAGUGAAGAAGGUUUUCGGAUCGUAAAGCUCUGUUGUAAGAGAAGAACGAGUGUGAGAGUGGAAAGUUCACACUGUGACGGUAUCUUACCAGAAAGGGACGGCUAACUACGUG
Molecule: ribosomal RNA, 495 nt
Filed under: uncultured bacterium
Lineage: Bacteria
Description: partial 16S ribosomal RNA
Rfam family: Bacterial small subunit ribosomal RNA
Source: RNAcentral